AAAAAAAUAAAAAAAUUUGUGGACCAACUGAUGAUUGAUGAACAAAGGCACUGAAGCGUGAAAUAGCUGUGUGUGUGUGUGCACAUGUGUUUACUAAUAACUAAAAUGUAAAAUAGGAAGUGGUGGAGGGCAGUGACAUAGGAAGAGGGUUCAUAAAUCAAGUUAAGGGGUUAGACUUCAUCCUUAGAUCAUGGGAUACCACUGAAGGGAUUUGAGCAAGUAUGUUAUAUCUUCAGGUUUGCAUUUUUUGAUAGGUUACUUGGGUGCAGCCAAUACUGAAGGCUGGGGAAACUGUCAAGGCUACAAAUUAUAAGAUUCUCAUUCUAUUGCCCAGGCUGGAGCGCAGCGGGACAAUCUCGG
RNAcentral lists this long non-coding RNA (360 nucleotides) under Homo sapiens (human). RNAcentral describes it as "HSALNT0138181". Lineage: Eukaryota; Metazoa; Chordata; Mammalia; Primates; Hominidae. The record is from RNAcentral.